UACGUAGGGUCCGAGCGUUGUCCGGAAUUACUGGGCGUAAAGAGCUCGUAGGUGGUUUGUCGCGUUGUUCGUGAAAACUCACAGCUCAACUGUGGGCGUGCGGGCGAUACGGGCAGACUGGAGUACUGCAGGGGAGACUGGAAUUCCUGGUGUAGCGGUGGAAUGCGCAGAUAUCAGGAGGAACACCAGCGGCGAAGGCGGCGCUCUGGGCUGGCACUGACACUGAGGAGCGAAAGCGUGGGGAGCGAACAGG
RNAcentral lists this ribosomal RNA (253 nucleotides) under uncultured bacterium. Its description in RNAcentral is "partial 16S ribosomal RNA". It matches the Rfam family "Bacterial small subunit ribosomal RNA", at positions 524 to 776 of the family's 1533-position model. The record is from RNAcentral.